Molecule: non-coding RNA, 108 nt
Organism: Fusarium torulosum
Lineage: Eukaryota; Fungi; Ascomycota; Sordariomycetes; Hypocreales; Nectriaceae
Source: the annotation of a GenBank genome assembly
GUUGGUGUGGCUCAGUUGGUUAGAGCGUUGGUCUCAUAGUAAUUCCCUGUGAUUUGAUCAUAGAUCAGAGUUAUCCAAAGGUCGAGAGUUCGAGCCUCUCCACCGACA